UGUAUGUGCUUGAUCGAGAAGCCAGUGGGGCAAAGCUACCAUUUGUGGGAUUAUGACUGAAUGCUUCUAAGUUAGAAUACCUCCCAGG
Molecule: ribosomal RNA, 88 nt
Filed under: Ailuropoda melanoleuca (giant panda)
Lineage: Eukaryota; Metazoa; Chordata; Mammalia; Carnivora; Ursidae
Description: similar to 28S ribosomal RNA
Source: RNAcentral